Molecule: long non-coding RNA, 1291 nt
Filed under: Capsicum annuum
Lineage: Eukaryota; Viridiplantae; Streptophyta; Magnoliopsida; Solanales; Solanaceae
Description: long non-coding RNA (CANN_LNC016820)
Source: RNAcentral
UCACUAGUUUAUUAUAGGUGAGGAUGAUGCUAAGCUCUAUGAACUGCAAAGUUGUGCAGCUUGAUUUGAUUGAGGUAGUUCUUUUUUUUACUGUUGACUGUUCAGCAUAUAGAUUUGGCUGUUCAAACAUUCAAAUGUCCACCAAAUAAAAAAUUUCGCUUGAUUGUACUACUUCCAGGUUCUCUUCGAACACAUUAUGACAAAUCACAAAGCAUUGUCUCUCAAAUUAAUAAGUACGUGUUUGUACUCUUUUCAAGUUAUAUUAAACCAUGAUCUUCUUCUCUUGCUUAACAACCAUGCUUGAAGUUUCUUUUCGAAUAGAAAGAUGCGAAUUCGAUGGUAUAUCAGAACAAACACAAUAUAUAAUCACUUCAGAAGACACCAAUCCAAUGUUUUAUGAAUCAAGUAAUCUUGUUCGUUAGGAAUUGACUGCAAUAAUGUCUCCAAUGUUGUCUCAGUUAGAGUGCUUAAUGAAAAUGUGAGUGUACUUUUGACUACAUCAUAUCAAAAGAUUCUGUCCUUUUACACCAUUCAUGUAAUGCUAACUUAAUUUCGUUGUUUUACCUUUGUCUCUUUACUUUUCGCCUAUGCUUACGAUGUGCAUGAAAUUUGUCAUCUGCGACUUGAUAAGGACGAACUCCGACUACUAUGCUGAUAAGUAGAUACAUCAUGAUGUUGUUAAAACUAUUCCAGGUGUCUGACUGAAAUCAUAUAGUUGAGGGACCGGGAAAAAUAUUUCAUGCAAAUACAAGUGUCUAAUUGUCUAUUAUGCCUUAAAACUAUGCUAGACAUUGAAAGAUUGAGAAACCUUCAGUUCUUGAUUAGUUGUUAAACCACUGAUAACAUACGAUGAAUUGGCAGCGUUAGCACAAUGGUUAAAACAUCAGUUUCUUGUUUUGGAUAUUCAGAGAUAUGGACUGAUAACUUUGGAGAUUAUGAAGUUCCGUUGAUCAAAUUAUUUCCAUUCUCAACCUCGAGUGGCACCUCAGAAGUCAGAACUAGGGGAAAGGAAAUGAAGUAUAUCCCUUUUGGAAUGAAUUAAGCUUAAGGACAGCCCGGUGCACUAAAGCUCCAGUAGUUAUUCCCGAUGCCAGGGAAGGAUCGGACAAAAAUGAUCUAUUGUACACAACCUUACAUAACGUGUAAUUAACAUAUCUUAAAAAGCUAUCAUCAUGAUUCAUGUAUACAAUGCUAGAACACUUGGUGUUGUGCCCUGUGUGUUCUAUUUGAAUUAUAUUGGACCCUAUUUCUAUAACUUUUAUAUGUAAAAUAUUAUUCUUUUUGACGAAAG